AUAGAUACCCGGUAGUCCACGCCGUAAACGAUGGAUACUAGCUGUUUGGUUGUAAGACUGAGUGGCUAAGCGAAAGUGAUAAGUAUCCCACCUGGGGAGUACGGGCGCAAGCCUGAAACUCAAAGGAAUUGACGGGGGCCCGCACAAGCGGUGGAGCAUGUGGUUUAAUUCGAUGAUACGCGAGGAACCUUACCAGGGCUUAAAUGUAGUUUGACCGCUUAGGAAACUAGGCUUUCGCAAGACAAAUUACAAGGUGCUGCAUGGUUGUCGUCAGCUCGUGCCGUGAGGUGUCAGGUUAAGUCCUAUAACGAGCGCAACCCCUGUUGUUAGUUGCCAGCGAGUCAUGUCGGGAACUCUAGCAAGACUGCCAGUGUAAACUGUGAGGAAGGUGGGGAUGACGUCAAAUCAUCACGGCCCUUACGUCCUGGGCCACACACGUGCUACAAUGGACGGUACAGAGAGCAGCUACCUAGUGAUAGGAUGCGAAUCUAUAAAACUGUUCUCAGUUCGGAUCGGAGUCUGCAACUCG
RNAcentral lists this ribosomal RNA (529 nucleotides) under uncultured bacterium. Its description in RNAcentral is "bacterial SSU rRNA". It matches the Rfam family "Bacterial small subunit ribosomal RNA", at positions 778 to 1314 of the family's 1533-position model. The record is from RNAcentral.